CAAGUCCUCGAUUUCCGAAUCCGUUGUGGAAUGAAACACGGUUACGCCCCCAGUGACUUGCCGGUCAAAGCAAAGCGCAGCACCUACAACUACAGCCUCCCCAUCACCGUCAAGAAGACACCCAGCCAGCUUGUCACCAUGCAUGACCUGAAGCAGGGCCUGGGCCCAUCGGGGACAAGUGGUGCUCGGAAACCAGCUUCCAGCAAGUACAAGCUCAAGGUCAGCCUUCAGACACUGAGGGUGAGAACUCGGGUGCAAACCCCCAGGGCUGUGUGUGUUGGGGACAUCUGGCGAAGAGGUGGUGACAAGUCUCAGGGAAGUCUGGCACCAGCAGCUGCAUGUGGUUGUCCUUCUCGAGCCCUUUGGGAGCCUGGGCCCCCACUGAGCCACGUGACCACUCCGGGAAUGAUCGGAAUUGGGCACAGACAGGAGGACAGAGCCAGAGCAGGCCAUGUGGGCUGCAGCUGUGGCGGGAGCCUCACCGGCUCACGUUUCCGUCAGUGCGGUUGCCCAGUGGGCGUUGGCAGUUUCCAGAGCUGUUCCCACAUUCAGGCUCCCGCAAGCCGCUCCACAGUCCUGGGGGAGGCCGAGAAGGGGGCAUCCCGCACGGUGGAAUCACCUGC
Molecule: small RNA, 623 nt
Filed under: Pan troglodytes (chimpanzee)
Lineage: Eukaryota; Metazoa; Chordata; Mammalia; Primates; Hominidae
Description: processed transcript
Source: RNAcentral